UAUAUAUAUAUAUUAAUGGGUGGCCAUUCGACUUUUGUAUCUUAUAAUAUACUAAUCAUAUAAUGAAAUGUCGUGUCAAAUAAAUUUUCCUAUUUUUACUUUAUGUAUCUGUCAGUAUCAAACAUUACUUUGAUGGUUUUUUUUCGUAUUCUUAAAACUAUUUAUAUAUUUUUCUGGAGGAAACCUAUUUUAUUUUGAAUAUAUAUACAAAAUAUUAGUAUUGUCAAUAAAUAAAAAAUGUUUAAUGGAAAACCCGAUUGCUGCUGCAAAAUUCGCGGAUUCGGCUUUUCGUGCACAGAAAGGGCUGGAAUCCGAAGAUCAUUUUAUGAUAGGAAAGGGAUAUCCGAAGGGCCACCACGUCUUUGCUUAUCCACCGUAGAAAAAAAGGACGAUAAACAUUAUUUUAUGUAAGCCCCUUUUACUUUUAAUUGUAAUGUAAUUUUCAUCUAAUGAUAUUUCGUACAUAUUAUUAGAAUUCCU
Long non-coding RNA from Tarenaya hassleriana, 480 nucleotides. RefSeq lists it as uncharacterized. The record is from RefSeq and is a predicted model, not a curated record. Lineage: Eukaryota; Viridiplantae; Streptophyta; Magnoliopsida; Brassicales; Cleomaceae. The transcript has 3 exons.